UAUACUAAACAUAUACAAGUACAUGGAGC
This 29-nucleotide small RNA is filed under the name Bombyx mori (domestic silkworm). RNAcentral describes it as "ovarian small RNA-6529". Lineage: Eukaryota; Metazoa; Arthropoda; Insecta; Lepidoptera; Bombycidae. The record is from RNAcentral.